This 423-nucleotide ribosomal RNA is filed under the name uncultured Filifactor sp. RNAcentral's name for it is "bacterial SSU rRNA". It matches the Rfam family "Bacterial small subunit ribosomal RNA", at positions 355 to 794 of the family's 1533-position model. The record is from RNAcentral. Lineage: Bacteria; Bacillati; Bacillota; Clostridia; Peptostreptococcales; Filifactoraceae.
UCGGGAAUAUUGGGCAAUGGGAGGGGAACUCUGACCCAGCAAUACCGCGUGAAGGAAGAAGGUUUUCGGAUUGUAAACUUCUGUUAUAAAGGAAGAAACAAAUGACGGUACUUUAUAAGUAAGCCCGGCAACUAUGUGCCAGCAGCCGCGGUGAUACAUAGGGGGCAAGCGUUGUCCGGAAUGACUGGGUGUAAAGGGUGUGUAGGUGGUUAAUUAAGUUAGAAGUGAAAGCCCGGGGCUUAACUCCGGAACUGCUUUAAACUGGUUGGCUUGAGUGUGGGAGAGGUUAGUGGAACUCCUAGUGUAGCGGUGGAAUGCGUAGAUAUUAGGAAGAACAUCAGAGGCGAAGGCGACUAACUGGAACAUUACUGACACUGAAACACGAAAGGGUGGGGAGCAAACAGGAUUAGAUACCCUGGUAGU